GCCUAACACAUGCAAGUCGACGGGGUAACAGAAGUAGCAAUACUUGCUGACGACCGGCGCACGGGUGAGUAACGCGUAUGCAACCUACCUUUGACUGGAGAAUAGCCCGAAGAAAUUCGGAUUAAUGCUCCAUGAGACCACAAUACCGCAUGAUAUAGUGGUAAAAGCUCCGGCGGUCAAAGAUGGGCAUGCGUGCCAUUAGUUAGUUGGUGAGGUUACGGCUCACCAAGACAACGAUGGCUAGGGGGUCUGAGAGGAUGAUCCCCCACACUGGUACUGAGACACGGACCAGACUCCUACGGGAGGCAGCAGUGAGGAAUAUUGGUCAAUGGACGCAAGUCUGAACCAGCCAUGCCGCGUGCAGGAUGAAUGCCCUAUGGGUUGUAAACUGCUUUUCUACAAGAAGAAACUUCCUGAUGUAUCAGGAACUGACGGUAUUGUAGGAAUAAGCAUCGGCUAACUCCGUGCCAGCAGCCGCGGUAAUACGGAGGAUGCAAGCGUUAUCCGGAUUCAUUGGGUUUACAGGGUGCGUAAGCGGGGUAGUAAGUCAGUGGUGAAAGCCUGCGGCUUAACCGUAGAAUUGCCAUUGAUACUGCUAUUCUUGAGUGCAGUUGAGUUAGGCGGAAUGUGUAAUGUAGCGGUGAAAUGCUUAGAUAUUACACAGAACACCGAUUGCGUAGGCAGCUUACUAAACUGUAACUGACGCUGAGGCACGAAAGCGUGGGGAGCGAACAGGAUUAGAUACCCUGGUAGUCCACGCUGUAAACUAUGAUCACUCGCUGUUGGCGAUACAUUGUCAGCGGCUGAGCGAAAGCAUUAAGUGAUCCACCUGGGGAGUACGGCCGCAAGGUUGAAACUCAAAGGAAUUGACGGGGGCCCGCACAAGCGGUGGAACAUGUGGUUUAAUUCGAUGAUACGCGAGGAACCUUACCCUGGGCUUAAAAAUGCAGAACGACGUACCGGGAAACUGGUACUCCCUUCGGGGCGGACUGCAAGGUGCUGCAUGGUUGUCGUCAGCUCGUGCCGUGAGGUGUCGGGUUAAGUCCCAUAACGAGCGCAACCCUCAUUGUUAGUUGCCAGCGAGUAAUGUCGGGGACUCCAACGAAACUGCCGGUGUAAACCGUGAGGAAGGUGGGGAUGACGUCAAAUCAGCACGGCCCUUAUGUCCAGGGCUACACACGUGUUACAAUGGCCAGUACAAAGGGCAGCUACCACGCGAGUGGAUGCUAAUCUCUAAAGCUGGUCUCAGUUCGGAUUGAAGUCUGCAACUCGACUUCAUGAAGCUGGAAUCGCUAGUAAUCGCGCAUCAGCCAUGGCGCGGUGAUACGUUCCCGGGCCUUGUACACACCGCCCGUCAAGCCAUGGAAGCUUGGGGUACCUGAAGUCCGUAACCGAAAGGA
RNAcentral lists this ribosomal RNA (1400 nucleotides) under uncultured organism. Its description in RNAcentral is "16S ribosomal RNA". It matches the Rfam family "Bacterial small subunit ribosomal RNA". The record is from RNAcentral.